This is a long non-coding RNA of Amphimedon queenslandica, 311 nucleotides long. RefSeq lists it as uncharacterized. The record is from RefSeq and is a predicted model, not a curated record. The transcript has 5 exons. NCBI's taxonomy places the organism in Eukaryota, Metazoa, Porifera, Demospongiae, Haplosclerida, Niphatidae.
AAAAUUGAUGCUAUUGUUAUGCCUUGCUGUCUUUGUCAUCACUGGAUAUUAAUAGUUGUUAACUUCCGUGAGCAAUCAAUAGUAGCUUAUGACUCAAUAGGAGGGUAUAUUGCUAAGACAAAGGAAGCAUUGAAGCUGUUACUGUCAUACCUGAAUAACUUAAUUGGCCCUGGCUCAAGCCCAUCUUUAUAUUCAAUUUUCAUAACUACAAGCUAGUUGAAAAGGACGUUCCUAGACAGCAGAAUUAUAUUGACUGUGGAGUGUUUAUGUGUAGGUAUGCCUUUCAUGUUGCCACAAAUACUGGUCUAACU